GUGGCGAACGGGUGAGUAACACGUGAGCAAUCUGCACUUGACUCUGGGAUAACUGCGGGAAACUGUAGCUAAUACCGGAUAUUACCUUGGAAGGCAUCUUCUGGGGUGGAAAGAAUUUUGGUCAAGGAUGAGCUCGCGGCCUAUCAGCUAGUUGGUGAGGUAAUGGCUCACCAAGGCGACGACGGGUAGCCGGCCUGAGAGGGUGACCGGCCACACUGGGACUGAGACACGGCCCAGACUCCUACGGGAGGCAGCAGUGGGGAAUAUUGCACAAUGGGCGCAAGCCUGAUGCAGCAACGCCGCGUGAGGGACGACGGCCUUCGGGUUGUAAACCUCGUUUAGUAGGGAAGAAGCGACUGGGUUUUCCUGGGAGUGACGGUACCUGCAGAAAAAGCACCGGCUAACUACGUGCCAGCAGCCGCGGUAAUACGUAGGGUGCAAGCGUUGUCCGGAAUUAUUGGGCGUAAAGAGCUCGUAGGCGGUUUGUCGCGUCUGCUGUGAAAACCCGAGGCUCAACCUCGGGCCUGCAGUGGGUACGGGCAGACUAGAGUGCGGUAGGGGAGAUUGGAAUUCCUGGUGUAGCGGUGGAAUGCGCAGAUAUCAGGAGGAACACCAAUGGCGAAGGCAGAUCUCUGGGCCGUAACUGACGCUGA
RNAcentral lists this ribosomal RNA (653 nucleotides) under uncultured Cryobacterium sp. RNAcentral's name for it is "bacterial SSU rRNA". It matches the Rfam family "Bacterial small subunit ribosomal RNA", at positions 95 to 749 of the family's 1533-position model. Lineage: Bacteria; Bacillati; Actinomycetota; Actinomycetes; Micrococcales; Microbacteriaceae. The record is from RNAcentral.